RNAcentral lists this ribosomal RNA (381 nucleotides) under uncultured eukaryote. Its description in RNAcentral is "partial 18S ribosomal RNA". It matches the Rfam family "Eukaryotic small subunit ribosomal RNA", at positions 592 to 975 of the family's 1831-position model. The record is from RNAcentral.
CAAUAGCGUAUAUUAAAGUUGUUGCAGUUAAAAAGCUCGUAGUUGGAUUUCUGGUUGAAGCGACCGGUCGGGCGUUGAUUCGUCUGCACUGGGGUCGGUUUUGGCCAUCCUCUAGGAAAGUGCGUCUGGUAUUAAGUUAUCGGGCGUAUGAUCCUGGUCUUUUACUGUGAAAAAAUUAGAGUGUUUAAAGCAGGCCUUCGCCUUGAAUACAUUAGCAUGGAAUAAUAAGAUAGAACUUUGGUCUAUUUUGUUGGUUCGCAGACCGAAGUAAUGAUUAAUAGGGAUAGUUGGGGGUAUUUAUAUUCCGAUGUCAGAGGUGAAAUUCUUAGAUUUUCGGAAGAUAAACUUAUGCGAAAGCAUUUACCAAGGAUGUUUUCAUUA